This 84-nucleotide transfer RNA is filed under the name Candidatus Methanoplasma sp. RNAcentral describes it as "tRNA-Ser". It matches the Rfam family "tRNA". From Rfam's summary of the family: Transfer RNA (tRNA) molecules are approximately 80 nucleotides in length. Their secondary structure includes four short double-helical elements and three loops (D, anti-codon, and T loops). Lineage: Archaea; Methanobacteriati; Thermoplasmatota; Thermoplasmata; Methanomassiliicoccales; Methanomassiliicoccaceae. The record is from RNAcentral.
GUGGAGGUGGCCCAGCCUGGUAAGGCGAUAGACUGCUAAUCUAUUGUCCGAAAGGACCCGGGGGUUCGAAUCCCCCCCUUCACG